RNAcentral lists this ribosomal RNA (742 nucleotides) under uncultured bacterium. RNAcentral describes it as "bacterial SSU rRNA". It matches the Rfam family "Bacterial small subunit ribosomal RNA", at positions 8 to 796 of the family's 1533-position model. The record is from RNAcentral.
AGAGUUUGAUCAUGGCUCAGAACGAACGCUGGCGGCAGGCUUAACACAUGCAAGUCGAACGCAUCCUUCGGGGUGAGUGGCAGACGGGUGAGUAACGCGUGGGAACGUGCCCUUCAGUUCGGAAUAACCCAGGGAAACUUGGGCUAAUACCGGAUACGUGCGAGAGCAGAAAGAUUUAUCGCUGAAGGAUCGGCCCGCGUCUGAUUAGCUAGUUGGUAGGGUAAUGGCCUACCAAGGCGACGAUCAGUAGCUGGUCUGAGAGGAUGAUCAGCCACAUUGGGACUGAGACACGGCCCAAACUCCUACGGGAGGCAGCAGUGGGGAAUAUUGGACAACGGGCGCAAGCCUGAUCCAGCCAUGCCGCGUGAGUGAUGAAGGCCUUAGGGUUGUAAAGCUCUUUCGGCGGGGACGAUAAUGACGGUACCCGCAGAAGAAGCCCCGGCUAACUUCGUGCCAGCAGCCGCGGUAAUACGAAGGGGGCUAGCGUUGUUCGGAAUCACUGGGCGUAAAGGGCGCGUAGGCGGCUUUGUAAGUCAGUGUUUAAAGUCAACAGCUCAACUGUUGGAAUGGCAAUGAUACUGCAUAGCUUGAGUAAAGUUGAGGUAGGCGGAAUUGAUGGUGUAGCGGUGAAAUGCAUAGAUAUCAUCAAGAACAUCGAUUGCGAAGGCAGCUUACUAAGCCUUAACUGACGCUGAGGCACGAAAGCGUGGGGAUCAAACAGGAUUAGAUACCCCGGUAGUCC